CAUGCAGUCGAGCGAUUUACUUCGGUAAGAGCGGCGGACGGGUGAGUAACGCGUGGGUAACCUGCCUCAUACACAUGGAUAACAUACCGAAAGGUAUGCUAAUACAGGAUAAUAUAAGAGAUUCACAUGGAUUUUUUAUCAAAGCUCCGGCGGUAUGAGAUGGACCCGCGUCUGAUUAGCUAGUUGGUAAGGUAAUGGCUUACCAAGGCGACGAUCAGUAGCCGACCUGAGAGGGUGAUCGGCCACAUUGGAACUGAGACACGGUCCAAACUCCUACGGGAGGCAGCAGUGGGGAAUAUUGCACAAUGGGCGAAAGCCUGAUGCAGCAACGCCGCGUGAGUGAUGAAGGCCUUCGGGUCGUAAAACUCUGUCCUCAAGGAAGAUAAUGACGGUACUUGAGGAGGAAGCCCCGGCUAACUACGUGCCAGCAGCCGCGGUAAUACGUAGGGGGCUAGCGUUAUCCGGAUUUACUGGGCGUAAAGGGUGCGUAGGUGGUUUUUUAAGUCAGGAGUGAAAAGGCUACGGCUCAACCGUAGUAAGCUCUUGAAACUGGAAAACUUGAGUGCAGGAGAGGAAAGUGGAAUUCCUAGUGUAGCGGUGAAAUGCGUAGAUAUUAGGAGGAACACCAGUAGCGAAGGCGGCUUUCUGGACUGUAACUGACACUGAGGCACGAAAGCGGGGGGGGAGCAAACAGGAUUAAAAUACCCUGGUAGUCCACCGCCGUAACGAUGGAGUA
This 736-nucleotide ribosomal RNA is filed under the name uncultured bacterium. RNAcentral's name for it is "bacterial SSU rRNA". It matches the Rfam family "Bacterial small subunit ribosomal RNA", at positions 54 to 816 of the family's 1533-position model. The record is from RNAcentral.